UACGGAGGAUGCGAGCGUUAUCCGGAUUUAUUGGGUUUAAAGGGUGCGCAGGCGGAUUUUUAAGUCAGCGGUCAAAUCGUGGGGCUCAACCCCGUCGUGCCGUUGAAACUGGCGUUCUUGAGUGAGCGAGAAGUAUGCGGAAUGCGUGGUGUAGCGGUGAAAUGCAUAGAUAUCACGCAGAACUCCGAUUGCGAAGGCAGCAUACCGGCGCCCGACUGACGCUGAAGCACGAAAGCGUGGGUAUCGAACAGG
This 252-nucleotide ribosomal RNA is filed under the name uncultured Bacteroidales bacterium. RNAcentral's name for it is "partial 16S ribosomal RNA". It matches the Rfam family "Bacterial small subunit ribosomal RNA", at positions 524 to 776 of the family's 1533-position model. The record is from RNAcentral. Lineage: Bacteria; Pseudomonadati; Bacteroidota; Bacteroidia; Bacteroidales.